UACGGGAGGCAGCAGUGGGGGAAUAUUGCACAAUGGGCGCAAGCCUGAUGCAGCCAUGCCGCGUGUAUGAAGAAGGCCUUCGGGUUGUAAAGUACUUUCAGUCGUGAGGAAGGUGUUAAGGUUAAUAACCUUAGCAAUUGACGUUAGCGACAGAAGAAGCACCGGCUAACUCCGUGCCAGCAGCCGCGGUAAUACGGAGGGUGCGAGCGUUAAUCGGAAUUACUGGGCGUAAAGGGCACGCAGGCGGUUAAUUAAGUUGGAUGUGAAAUCCCCGGGCUUAACCUGGGAAUGGCAUUCAAGACUGGUUAGCUAGAGUCUUGUAGAGGGGGUAGAAUUCCAUGUGUAGCGGUGAAAUGCGUAGAGAUGUGGAGGAAUACCGGUGGCGAAAGGCGGCCCCUGGACAAAAGGACUGACGCUCAUGUGCGAAAAGCGUGGGGAGCAAACAGGGAUUAGAUACC
This 458-nucleotide ribosomal RNA is filed under the name uncultured bacterium. RNAcentral's name for it is "bacterial SSU rRNA". It matches the Rfam family "Bacterial small subunit ribosomal RNA", at positions 340 to 786 of the family's 1533-position model. The record is from RNAcentral.